This 500-nucleotide ribosomal RNA is filed under the name uncultured bacterium. RNAcentral's name for it is "partial 16S ribosomal RNA". It matches the Rfam family "Bacterial small subunit ribosomal RNA", at positions 30 to 523 of the family's 1533-position model. The record is from RNAcentral.
AUUGAACGCUGGCGGCAUGCCUUACACAUGCAAGUCGAACGGCAGCACGGGAGCAAUCCUGGUGGCGAGUGGCGAACGGGUGAGUAAUAUAUCGGAACGUGCCCAGUCGUGGGGGAUAACAUAGCGAAAGCUACGCUAAUACCGCAUACGAUCUAUGGAUGAAAGCGGGGGAUCGCAAGACCUCGCGCGAUUGGAGCGGCCGAUAUCAGAUUAGGUAGUUGGUGAGGUAAAGGCUCACCAAGCCGACGAUCUGUAGCUGGUCUGAGAGGACGACCAGCCACACUGGGACUGAGACACGGCCCAGACUCCUACGGGAGGCAGCAGUGGGGAAUUUUGGACAAUGGGCGCAAGCCUGAUCCAGCAAUGCCGCGUGCAGGAUGAAGGCCUCCGGGUUGUAAACUGCUUUUGUACGGAACGAAACGGCGAGCUCUAAUACAGUUUGCUAAAGACGGUACCGUAAGAAUAAGCACCGGCUAACUUCGUGCCAGCCGCCGCGGUAA